AACGAACGCUGGCGGCAGGCCUAACACAUGCAAGUCGAACGCCGUAGCAAUACGGAGUGGCAGACGGGUGAGUAACACGUGGGAACGUACCCUUCGGUUCGGGAUAACUCAGGGAAACGUUGAGCUAAUACCGGAUACGUCCGAGAGGAGAAAGAUUUAUUGCCGAGGGAUCGGCCCGCGUCUGAUUAGCUUGUUGGUGAGGUAACGGCUCACCAAGGCGACGAUCAGUAGCUGGCUGAGAGGAUGAUCAGCCACAUUGGGACUGAGACACGGCCCAAACUCCUACGGGAGGCAGCAGUGGGGAAGUAUUGGACGAAUGGGCGCAAGCCUGAUCCAGCCAUGCCGCGUGAGUGAUGAAGG
RNAcentral lists this ribosomal RNA (360 nucleotides) under uncultured bacterium. RNAcentral's name for it is "bacterial SSU rRNA". It matches the Rfam family "Bacterial small subunit ribosomal RNA", at positions 29 to 414 of the family's 1533-position model. The record is from RNAcentral.